UGCCAGCAGCCGCGGUAAUACGAAGGGGGCUAGCGUUGUUCGGAUUUACUGGGCGUAAAGCGUGCGUAGGCGGCUUUUUAAGUCGGAUGUGAAAUCCCUGAGCUUAACUUAGGAAUUGCAUUCGAUACUGGGAAGCUAGAGUAUGGGAGAGGAUGGUAGAAUUCCAGGUGUAGCGGUGAAAUGCGUAGAGAUCUGAGGAAUACCGAUGGCGAAGGCAGCCAUCUGGCCUAAUACUGACGCUGAGGUACGAAAGCAUGGGGAGCAAACAGGAUUAGAUA
RNAcentral lists this ribosomal RNA (278 nucleotides) under uncultured bacterium. RNAcentral describes it as "partial 16S ribosomal RNA". It matches the Rfam family "Bacterial small subunit ribosomal RNA", at positions 506 to 784 of the family's 1533-position model. The record is from RNAcentral.